Molecule: small nuclear RNA, 107 nt
Filed under: Octodon degus (degu)
Lineage: Eukaryota; Metazoa; Chordata; Mammalia; Rodentia; Octodontidae
Source: RNAcentral
GUGCUCACUUCGGCAGCACAUAUACUAAAAUUGGAAUGAUACAGAGAAGAUUAACAUGGCCCCUGCACAAGGAUGACACACAAAUUCAUGAAACAUUCCAUAUUUUU